GCAUUGGUGGUUCAGUGGUAGAAUUCUCACCUCGCACGCGGGAAACCCCGGUUCAAUUCCCAGCCAAUGCA
RNAcentral lists this transfer RNA (71 nucleotides) under Bos taurus (domestic cattle). It matches the Rfam family "tRNA". From Rfam's summary of the family: Transfer RNA (tRNA) molecules are approximately 80 nucleotides in length. Their secondary structure includes four short double-helical elements and three loops (D, anti-codon, and T loops). Further hydrogen bonds mediate the characteristic L-shaped molecular structure. tRNAs have two regions of fundamental functional importance: the anti-codon, which is responsible for specific mRNA codon recognition, and the 3' end, to which the tRNAs corresponding amino acid is attached (by aminoacyl-tRNA synthetases). tRNAs cope with the degeneracy of the genetic code in two manners: having more than one tRNA (with a specific anti-codon) for a particular amino acid; and 'wobble' base-pairing, i.e. permitting non-standard base-pairing at the 3rd anti-codon position. The record is from Rfam by way of RNAcentral. Lineage: Eukaryota; Metazoa; Chordata; Mammalia; Artiodactyla; Bovidae. RNAcentral also lists the same sequence under 2 other names.